AUAGUCACUAAGCCAAAUGUGAUCAAAAGACUAUUAGAGCGGAGGAACCAAACAUUGGGGCGCAUUUCUGCUGUAUAAUUAGUUACAACAGCAGCAAGGGACAUCUCUCAGUCCUAGCCCGUCAGCUAACUUCGUAGGCAUUGAGGGAAGAUUGA
Molecule: small RNA, 155 nt
Filed under: Gloeothece verrucosa PCC 7822
Lineage: Bacteria; Bacillati; Cyanobacteriota; Cyanophyceae; Chroococcales; Aphanothecaceae
Also listed under: 1 other name
Description: Cyanothece sp. PCC 7822 c-di-AMP riboswitch aptamer (ydaO/yuaA leader)
Rfam family: c-di-AMP riboswitch aptamer (ydaO/yuaA leader)
About the family: This family represents a conserved RNA structure found upstream of the ydaO and yuaA genes in Bacillus subtilis and related genes in other bacteria. The ydaO/yuaA element is thought to act as a genetic "off" switch for the ydaO and yuaA genes in its native state. It is believed that the element may be triggered during osmotic shock leading to activation of ydaO, a predicted amino acid transporter gene, and members of the yuaA-yubG operon which code for KtrA and KtrB K+ transporters.
Source: Rfam by way of RNAcentral